UGCGAAUCUCGAAAGCCUGUCUCAGUUCGGAUUGGAGGCUGAAACCCGCCUCCAUGAAGUUGGAUUCGCUAGUAAUCGCGCAUCAGCCACGGCGCGGUGAAUACGUUCCCGGGCCUUGUACACACCGCCCGUCAAGCCAUGGAAGCCGGGGGUGCCUGAAGUGCGCUGCCGCAAGGAGCGCCCUAGGGUAAAACCGGUGACUGGGGCUAAGUCGUAACAAGGUAAC
RNAcentral lists this ribosomal RNA (226 nucleotides) under uncultured bacterium. Its description in RNAcentral is "partial 16S ribosomal RNA". It matches the Rfam family "Bacterial small subunit ribosomal RNA", at positions 1266 to 1500 of the family's 1533-position model. The record is from RNAcentral.